This 789-nucleotide ribosomal RNA is filed under the name uncultured archaeon. RNAcentral's name for it is "bacterial SSU rRNA". It matches the Rfam family "Archaeal small subunit ribosomal RNA", at positions 85 to 876 of the family's 1478-position model. The record is from RNAcentral.
ACUGCUCAGUAACACGUGGACAACCUACCUUAGGUCGGGGAUAAACCCGGGAAACUGGGUAUAAUACCCGAUAGUCCUCGGAUGCUGGAAUGCACCGAGGUCUAAAGCUCCGGCGCCUAAGGAUGGGUCUGCGGCCUAUCAGGUAGUAGUGGGUGUAGCGUACCUACUAGCCUACGACGGGUACGGGUUGUGAGAGCAAGAGCCCGGAGAUGGAUUCUGAGACACGAAUCCAGGCCCUACGGGGUGCAGCAGGCGCGAAAACUUUACAAUGCUGGAAACAGCGAUAAGGGGACCUCGAGUGCCAGGUUACAAAUCUGGCUGUCGUGAUGCCUAAAAAGCAUUGCAUAGCAAGGGCCGGGCAAGACCGGUGCCAGCCGCCGCGGUAACACCGGCGGCUCGAGUGGUAACCGCUAUUAUUGGGUCUAAAGGGUCUGUAGCCGGCCGGAUAAGUCUUUUGGGAAAUCUGGCAGCCUAACUGUCAGGCUUUCAGAGGAUACUGUCUGGCUCGAGGCCGGGAGAGGUGAGAGGUACUUCAGGGGUAGGGGUGAAAUCUUGUAAUCCUUGAAGGACCACCAGUGGCGAAGGCGUCUCACCAGAACGGACCUGACGGCAAGGGACGAAAGCUAGGGGCACGAACCGGAUUAGAUACCCGGGUAGUCCUAGCCGUAAACGAUACUCGCUAGGUGUCGGCCACGGUGCGACCGUUGUCGGUGCCGUAGGGAAGCCGUGAAGCGAGCCACCUGGGAAGUACGGCCGCAAGGCUGAAACUUAAAGGAAUUGGCGGGGGAG